Molecule: non-coding RNA, 769 nt
Organism: Pocillopora verrucosa
Lineage: Eukaryota; Metazoa; Cnidaria; Anthozoa; Scleractinia; Pocilloporidae
Source: RefSeq, a predicted model, not a curated record
AAAAAAGUGAGAGGUCGGGGAAACAUGUGCAGCAUCUCGAGCCAUUUUGGAAGUGAAGUUGGACAUGUAACGAGCAUUUUUGGCUACAACACUGAUGUACAACCCUAUCAAUUGGAGCUUCCUUAACAAAGACAAAUAUAUGUUGUAAAAAGCUAGAAAAAGCCGUUGGCCAUCGAGCAGUGGUCAAGUUAUUCUGUAGGGCCACCUCAAAAGCUAUGAAGGCCAACCUCAAAGCUAGCCUGAAGCAUUCGCCGGACCAAUUCGUUCUCUAUGUCGGCUCCAAUAACCUUAAAUAUAAAAAGAGUUGCAAGAUGCUGAAUCGAUCAUAGACAAAUCGAAAAUUCAUCCGACUCCACCUCCGCCAUAUCGAGGCUUACUUCCACAAGGGAUGAAUUCAAUAGAGCAGUGAAAGAUGCGAAUAAACAUCUAAAGAGCUACUGCCGUCAGAAUGGAUGGAACCUAAUCCAGCAUCUAAUGAUCACAGAAAUUGGCCUAAUCAAGGGAGGACUGCAUCUUAGUUAUAAAGAGUGAGGGAGCAAUGACUGAAAAAGUGCAAUUUUCAUAGGAGUCAAGAUUAUCCUCAGAGACCUAACAAUUCCUUGUUGGUGGGGUGGAGUGGAGUGUCCAAGGCAUGUUAUUAAUUAAGGAGUCUGCAUCAACAACUUUAUUCACAGGGGGUGUUUCUCUAGUUUGCCUUUCUUUUCUUUCUAUAAUGGUUUAGGACUUUUUACUGGUCAUCUCAGAGGACAAUCACUACCUCAAGAGAAAA